CAAGUACUCCCUCCAUCUUAAAAUUUUUGUCUUAGAUUUGUCUAGAUACGGAUGUAUCUAAUACUAAAACGUGACUUGAUACAUCCGUAUCUAGACAAAUCCAAGACAAAAAUUUUGGGACGGAGGGAGUAAUAA
Non-coding RNA from Triticum aestivum (bread wheat), 135 nucleotides. The record is from Rfam. Lineage: Eukaryota; Viridiplantae; Streptophyta; Magnoliopsida; Poales; Poaceae.